RNAcentral lists this ribosomal RNA (253 nucleotides) under uncultured bacterium. Its description in RNAcentral is "partial 16S ribosomal RNA". It matches the Rfam family "Bacterial small subunit ribosomal RNA", at positions 524 to 776 of the family's 1533-position model. The record is from RNAcentral.
UACGGAGGGUGCGAGCGUUGUCCGGAAUCACUGGGCGUAAAGGGCGCGUAGGCGGCGCGGGGAGUCAACGGUGAAAGCUCGGCGCUCAACGCCGAGUCGGCCGUCGAUACUCCCGUGCUCGAGCACUGUAGAGGCGGGUGGAAUUCCGGGUGUAGCGGUGGAAUGCGUAGAGAUCCGGAAGAACACCGGUGGCGAAGGCGGCCUGCUGGGCUAUGGCUGACACUGAGGCGCGACAGCGUGGGGAGCAAACAGG